GACGAACGCUGGCGGCGUGCCUAAUACAUGCAAGUAGAACGCUGAAGAGAGGAGCUUGCUCUUCUUGGAUGAGUUGCGAACGGGUGAGUAACGCGUAGGUAACCUGCCUUGUAGCGGGGGAUAACUAUUGGAAACGAUAGCUAAUACCGCAUAACAAUGGAUGACACAUGUCAUUUAUUUGAAAGGGGCAAUUGCUCCACUACAAGAUGGACCUGCGUUGUAUUAGCUAGUAGGUGAGGUAAUGGCUCACCUAGGCGACGAUACAUAGCCGACCUGAGAGGGUGAUCGGCCACACUGGGACUGAGACCAGGCCCAGACUCCUACGGGGGGCCGCAGUAGGGAAUCUUCGGCAAUGGGGGCAACCCUGACCGAGCAACGCCGCGUGAGUGAAGAAGGUUUUCGGAUCGUAAAGCUCUGUUGUAAGUCAAGAACGGGUGUGAGAGUGGAAAGUUCACACUGUGACGGUAGCUUACCAGAAAGGGACGGCUAACUACGUG
This 497-nucleotide ribosomal RNA is filed under the name uncultured bacterium. RNAcentral's name for it is "partial 16S ribosomal RNA". It matches the Rfam family "Bacterial small subunit ribosomal RNA", at positions 28 to 507 of the family's 1533-position model. The record is from RNAcentral.